CGGGUGUAGCUCAGCUGGUUAGAGCGCCGCCCUGUCACGGCGGAGGCCGCGAGUUCAAGUCUCGUCACUC
RNAcentral lists this transfer RNA (70 nucleotides) under marine eukaryotic metagenome. It matches the Rfam family "tRNA". From Rfam's summary of the family: Transfer RNA (tRNA) molecules are approximately 80 nucleotides in length. Their secondary structure includes four short double-helical elements and three loops (D, anti-codon, and T loops). The record is from RNAcentral.